CACGUAGUCCUUCGGGUUUAGUGGCGCACGGGUGCGUAACGCGUGGGAAUCUGCCCCUUGGUUCGGAAUAACAGUUGGAAACGACUGCUAAUACCGGAUGAUGACGUAAGUCCAAAGAUUUAUCGCCGAGGGAUGAGCCCGCGUAGGAUUAGGUAGUUGGUGUGGUAAAGGCGCACCAAGCCGACGAUCCUUAGCUGGUCUGAGAGGAUGAUCAGCCACACUGGGACUGAGACACGGCCCAGACUCCUACGGGAGGCAGCAGUGGGGAAUAUUGGACAAUGGGCGAAAGCCUGAUCCAGCAAUGCCGCGUGAGUGAUGAAGGCCUUAGGGUUGUAAAGCUCUUUUACCCGGGAUGAUAAUGACAGUACCGGGAGAAUAAGCUCCGGCUAACUCCGUGCCAGCAGCCGCGGUAAUACGGAGGGAGCUAGCGUUAUUCGGAAUUACUGGGCGUAAAGCGCACGUAGGCGGCUUUGUAAGUAAGAGGUGAAAGCCCAGAGCUCAACUCUGGAAUUGCCUUUUAGACUGCAUCGCUUGAAUCAUGGAGAGGUCAGUGGAAUUCCGAGUGUAGCGGUGAAAUGCGU
RNAcentral lists this ribosomal RNA (581 nucleotides) under Sphingomonas sp. AIR-SC-II-7. RNAcentral's name for it is "bacterial SSU rRNA". It matches the Rfam family "Bacterial small subunit ribosomal RNA", at positions 72 to 691 of the family's 1533-position model. The record is from RNAcentral. Lineage: Bacteria; Pseudomonadati; Pseudomonadota; Alphaproteobacteria; Sphingomonadales; Sphingomonadaceae.